Molecule: ribosomal RNA, 1229 nt
Filed under: Zecheuna tonkinensis
Lineage: Eukaryota; Metazoa; Arthropoda; Insecta; Hemiptera; Flatidae
Description: large subunit ribosomal RNA
Rfam family: Archaeal large subunit ribosomal RNA (bases 1005-1163)
Source: RNAcentral
UAAAUUAUUUUCUUAAUUUUUUUUUUUAUUUUUUUUUUAAACAAAAGUUAUUUAUUUGUUUUUAAAAUUUCAUUUUAUCAAAAUUUUUUUUUUUUAGUUUAUUUUACUGUUAAGGUAAUAAUAUAAUUUUUAAGAAGAUAAUUUUUUUUUUGUACCUUUUGUAUCAGGGUUAAUUAAAAUUAAUUAAAUUUAUUUUUUUUUCCCGAAUUUUUAGGAUCUAUAUUUUUUUGGAUUUUGUUGUAGCAUAAAUAUUUAUAAAUUUAAUUAUAGAUUUGAAAAGAAAAUCGACUAAUUUUUUUUCUGGUUACUUUAGAUUUAAUUAAAUUAUAGAUUUUUUUUUUGUUUUUUUAUUUAUUUUAUUCAUUUAUUUUUCUAAUUUUUAUUUGGUUUAGCUUUUAAAAUUUAUAUAAUUUUUUUUUUUUAUUAUUUUGUAGGAUUAGAAUUUUUCAUCAUUUGAAUUUUGUUAAAAAUUAAUUUUUUUUUUUAAUUAAUUUUUAUUUUUUUAUUUAGUUUUUUAUAUUAAUUUUUUUUUAAUUAAUAAUGAUUAAAUUAGUAAAUUAAUAAUUUUUUUAUAUGAAUUCGGCAAAAAUUAAUUCUCGCCUGUUUAACAAAAACAUGUCUUUUUGGGUUUAUAAAAAGUCUGUCCUGCUCAAUGAAUUAAAAUUUUAAAUAGCCGCAGUAUUUUGACUGUGCAAAGGUAGCAUAAUAAUUAGUCUUUUAAUUGAGGUCUUGAAUGAAUGGUUAGACGAAGAAUUAACUUUAUUUAAAAAAUUUUUUUUAAUUUUAGUUUUUGGUAAAAAUUCCAUAAUUUUUAAAAGGGACGAUAAGACCCUAUAGAUCUUAAAAAUAUUUUAUUUAUUUUUUUUUUUUGUUGUUUUUUGUUUAUUAAAUUUUUAUUUUUUUAUUGGGGUGAUAGAUAAAAUUUUUGACUUUAUUUUAUAUUUACAUUUAUUUAUGUUUAUUUUGAUCCUUAAUUUUGGAUUUAAAGAUAAAGAUACCUUAGGGAUAACAGCAUAAUAUAGUUGGAGAGUUCAUAUCGAUAAUUAUGUUUGUGACCUCGAUGUUGGAUUAAAAUUUAGCUGUGGGGUAGGUUUUACAGUAUUGAGUCUGUUCGACUUUUAAAAUUUUACAUGAUCUGAGUUCAAACCGGCGUGAGCCAGGUUGGUUUCUAUCUUUUUAUAAAUUUUUUUAAUUAGUACGAAAGGACUUUUAAAAUAUAAUAUUUAUUC